AUUUACUUCGGUAAUGACGUUAGGAAAGCGAGCGGCGGAUGGGUGAGUAACACGUGGGGAACCUGCCCCAUAGUCUGGGAUACCACUUGGAAACAGGUGCUAAUACCGGAUAAGAAAGCAGAUCGCAUGAUCAGCUUUUAAAAGGCGGCGUAAGCUGUCGCUAUGGGAUGGCCCCGUGGUGCAUUAGCUAGUUGGUAAGGUAAAGGCUUACCAAGGCGAUGAUGCAUAGCCGAGUUGAGAGACUGAUCGGCCACAUUGGGACUGAGACACGGCCCAAACUCCUACGGGAGGCAGCAGUAGGGAAUCUUCCACAAUGGACGCAAGUCUGAUGGAGCAACGCCGCGUGAGUGAAGAAGGUUUUCGGAUCGUAAAGCUCUGUUGUUGGUGAAGAAGGAUAGAGGUAGUAACUGGCCUUUAUUUGACGGUAAUCAACCAGAAAGUCACGGCUAACUACGUGCCAGCAGCCGCGGUAAUACGUAGGUGGCAAGCGUUGUCCGGAUUUAUUGGGCGUAAAGCGAGCGCAGGCGGAAGAAUAAGUCUGAUGUGAAAGCCCUCGGCUUAACCGAGGAACUGCAUCGGAAACUGUUUUUCUUGAGUGCAGAAGAGGAGAGGGAUCCAUGGUAGCGGUGGAAUGCGUA
This 638-nucleotide ribosomal RNA is filed under the name uncultured Bacilli bacterium. RNAcentral's name for it is "bacterial SSU rRNA". It matches the Rfam family "Bacterial small subunit ribosomal RNA", at positions 73 to 692 of the family's 1533-position model. Lineage: Bacteria; Bacillati; Bacillota; Bacilli. The record is from RNAcentral.